AUAAGUAAGAAUUUAAUUUUGGUUCAGAUGAAACGUUAUUCAGUAGUAUAAGACAUGCGAAUCGUUAUUAACAAGAUUUAAAAAAUUAUUAGAAAUAAUAAAAUUUUAAAUUAAGUGAUAAGGUGUAAAGGUGAGUAUAGUAAAUAAGAUACCCUAAAAUCUUCGUAAAUUGAAGAUAAAUAAUUAGAUAUAAAAUAAAUUAGCCUUAAAAUUUUAUUUUAAUAUUGUAUUAUUAUUUAAUACUUAAUUAAUAAGUAAUUAAGAUAGGCUAUUAAUAAUUAAAUUAGCAUUAAAGGAAAUUUUCCGUUUUAGGAUUCUAUUUAUUUUGAGUAGAUAGUUGGAAGGGUAACGGCCUAACCAAGUCGACGAUCAAAAGCUAAGCUUGAAAGAGCCAAUGGUCACAUUGGGAGUGAAAUGCCCCAAGUAAUAGCAUAUUACCAGCAGUCAAGAAUAUUAGUCAAUGCUCGACAGAGUGAACUAGCUAACUGAAAUCAUGAAUGUGUCAUUUAUGAUAAGGUAAGAAAAAAUAAUGAUAUUAUCUUACUAAUAGUGUCGUCCAAAUCUGGUGCCAGAAGACUCGGUAAGGCCAGAGACGCAAACGUUGGUCGUCAUAAACAGGCGUAAAGGGUGUGUAGGCGGCUUUAUAAGUUUAAAAUUUAGAUAGCCAUAAUAAAAAAUUAAAUUUUAAAUUAAAUAAAGCUAGAAUCUAAAAGAAGAUAAGCUAAACAACAGUUAAGUAGGUUUGUGAGCCGCAAAUAUAACUAAGAGUACUAAAGGUUAAAGCUAUUUAUCUACUAAAGAUUGACGCUGAGAAACUAAGGGGAGGAACGAAAAAAGGAUUAGAUACCCUAGUAUCCCUCUCAGUCAACUAUGAAUGGUAGUCGUUAGUGUUUGAAAAUAAUAUUCCCUCUAAAAAAACCAUAUUAUUUUUAGCUAGUGUCGAAGUUAACAUGAUAACCAUUCCGCCUUGUGAGUAAUACUGCAAAGUAGAAAACAAAAAAAUUAGUCGGUCUUGAGGCAAACGAAGUGAAGCAUGUUAUUUAAUACGAUAAUCCGCGUACAAUCUUACCAGCUCUUGUAUAUUUCUUCUUAAAAUUUAGUUUUUUUAAUAUACUAAAGCCACUUAUUUCAAUAUUUUAAUUAAAAAAAUAUAAUAUUAAAAAACUGUCUUUUAAUAAUAUUAAAAUUUUAAUUUUAUUUCUGUUAUAUUAUAUAAUUUUAUUUAAAAAUUUAUUUAAGGGAAAGAAGAAAAUUAUAUUUAUAUAUAAUUACUACAGGUGUUGCAUGGCUGUCGUCAGUCCGUGUUGUGAAAAGUUUGGUUAAAUCCGUGAACGGACAAAAUCCCUGGUGUUAAUUUUUACUUAACACACAAUAAUAAUUAUAAGUUAUUAUUUGGGGCUAAGACAAGUCUUUAUGGCCCUCAUGAGCUGGGCUAUAGACGUGCCACAAAAACUUUUACAAAGUGAUGCAAGUUUAUUUUUAUUUUUUAUAAUUUUAUUUUAUAAUUUAUAAAAUAUUUAAAGGAGCAAAUCAUUAAAGAAAGUUAAAAUAUUAAUUGAGAUGGAUUGUUCUCUGAAACCCGGGAGCAUGAAAAAGGAAUUUCGAGUAAUCGUUGAUCAUUACGCAACGGUGAAGACUGCACUCAGGAUGAACUAACUGUCUGUCACUGGGAAGGAGCUGAAAUUGGAGGAAGCUGUUAUUCUAUAGCUCUUAUUUGCAAUGCCGCUGCUUAAAUUAAGAUUAAUUUUUAAUUUUCACCGAUUAGGAAUUGAUUUGACCGUUAAGUUAGCAGUUUAAAGAUUGGAUUUUCCUUAAUUGGAUAUUUUGAUUAAUUUGUUUUUUAACAAAUAAAAUUGUGCUGUUUUUACUGUUUAUAUGUAACAGAUAUAAUAUAAGUUUACAGAUUACUGAUCUAAUCUAAAUUAACAUUGGUUGCAAAGAGAAUGGGAAAUCAAUGAAUUCGUUUGAGUAACAUUUCAAAAGUCAUAGCAAGGUAGCCGUACUGGAAAGUGCUGCUGAAAAAUAAAACGU
Molecule: ribosomal RNA, 2031 nt
Filed under: Phlebopus portentosus
Lineage: Eukaryota; Fungi; Basidiomycota; Agaricomycetes; Boletales; Boletinellaceae
Description: small subunit ribosomal RNA
Rfam family: Bacterial small subunit ribosomal RNA (bases 1-1705)
Source: RNAcentral